Long non-coding RNA from Venturia canescens, 592 nucleotides. RefSeq lists it as uncharacterized. The transcript has 3 exons. NCBI's taxonomy places the organism in Eukaryota, Metazoa, Arthropoda, Insecta, Hymenoptera, Ichneumonidae. The record is from RefSeq and is a predicted model, not a curated record.
AGUUGUUUACACAACCGUACAUAUUAUUCGCACCCGACAUUUCCACAUCUCUCUGGGGGCUUUUACACAAUAUUUCACAUCGUGACACACAAUUCCGCGGUCUUUUUUAUGUAGUUUUUAAAUCGUUUGUAAAAAUGUAUUUAAUUGGAACGAGAGCUCACAUCGCCGAAUUCUCAAUUGUUGAAACUAACAAAUAAUUGACCAACAAAAUUAGCAGCACCGAUAACGGGUAUGCACAGAUGGAGUAUUACUGAUUGAAUGGUCGCUUCACCUUUUUUGCAAAGUAUCGCAAGAUGCAAUAUACUCGGCAAGCUAUGAUGAAACGUGGAAUUUCAUAAAUACAUUAUUGCCCUGAUCACGAUUAUGCUGCAUUAUCGUGAUGAUGAUAUUGUGAAUGAAAAAGGACAUGGUCAGCAUGCCAGUAAGAGCAGGAAAUGUUGACUGAAGUCUCCAGCUGUUAUCCCAAGCUGCGGUCGACAUAUUAAUACCCCAACUGGACGAUUUCGUGAUUACGAAAGCGACGAGAUACAUGACAGCAAUCGUUCCUGUAAAUAAAUUGGAAACUUUUAUAUCAGUUUCCUUAUUCGCAAAA